GGGGCUGCCAGUUAUGCAGGCAAGGGGUGACAUAACAGGACUUCUGAGGCUUGGAGCGCCUUUUUGCCACAGGGGAGCCACAGAAAGAAUGUAGCUGGUCAAGGGAGCCAUGGACUCAAAAAGGUUGAAAACCUGUGCGCCAUAUGUUCCAGACCAUGGGUAGGCAAACUAAGGCCCAGGGGCUGGAUCCGGCCCAAUCGCCUUCUAAAUCUGGCCCGUGGAUGGUCUGGGAAUCAUCAUGUUUUUACAUGAGUAGAAUGUGUCCUUUUAUUUAAAAUGCAUCUCUGAGUUAUUUGUGGGGCCUGCCUGGUCUUUUUACAUGAACAGAAUGUGUCCUUUUAUUUAAAAUGCAUCUCUGGGUUAUUUGUGGGGCCUGCCUGGUCUUUUUACAUGAACAGAAUGUGUGCUUUUAUUUAAAAUGCAUCUCUGGGUCAUUUGUGGGGCCUGCCUGGUCUUUUUACAUGAACAGAAUGUGUGAUUUUAUUUAAAAUGCAUCACUGGGUUAUUUUUGGGGCAUAGGAAUUCGUUCACUCCCCCCCAAAAAAAACCUUUAGUCCGGCCCCCCGCAAGGUCUGAGGGACAGUGGACCGGCCCCCUGCUGAAAAAGUUUUCUGACCCCUCUUCCAGACAAAAUAAGUACUGGCCUGUUAAAGAACAAUUGACUGUGCAGGUGCUGUCCUCCCCUGCCCCCCCCCCCCCCCAGCUGGGUGUUAGCAAAAGGAAGAGAAGAGUUGGGAGGGUGAGGUUAAAGGAGGAGUGGUGUCACACUGGAGAAAGGGGUGUGUGAGAGCAGACAGAAGGGAAAGUGUUUUUUUGGUAAGGAGUUCUGGGAACCAGAAGAAAGAAGUGAGAGAACUCCAAUGGCUGGAGGAGGCUGCAGGAGCCGUGCCUGGCUAUUGCUUUGGACCCCAGCUUGCUGAAGCAAUGAGAGGGGCAAUGAGAGACACUCUUUGCGGUGUGUGUGUGCAAUGUUUUGCAUGCCCUCCACUGAAGAUAAAAUAUGUGUAAAACAAACCAUAUUUCUUAAAGGUCUCCACUGUGCCUCUAUUUCCCAGUGGUAAAACAAACCUGGAUGAACUCCUGGAAUCCUGCUACUGGUUAGCAGAGAUUGUGGCUGACGCACAACCUCUGCAUUAUAAUUAAUUAAUUUAAUUAAUUAAUUAAAUUUCUAUACUGCCCUUCAUCCAAGGAUUACAGGGCAGUUUACAAUAUAAAAACACAAAAAUACAUACCAUAAUAGGUGCUCUUCACUUGGGUUCUGAAUACAGCUUUGUUGGGUCAGUUUGAUAAUUAAGUAACUCUGCUCUUUGAGGCAAGUAAAUUAUUUUGGUUCUAACUGAGGGGGAGAAAUUAAUUAAUUUAUGUUUAAUCCCACAUAUAAGCAAUGUGACUCUCACCAGUGGUGACUUUUAAGCUGUGGCUUUCCAGCUGCAGCCCAGCAAACAGGUGGGGUGAAUUUCCACCUCCUUAUGGGACUAAGAAGUCUGACCUUUUCAUUUCCACUGGUGUUGGAUUCAUGAUCCCCACCUCACCCCCACUUCAGACAAAAUGCAGGCCAUUUUAAAAGUCAGGAAAAAUUGAAGAUCACUUUGCAGAAUAGCUCCCCCAGGGGGAGGAAAUCAGCAGGACAGCAGCCCACAUUGAAACGCAGCCUGAUUUAAUCACAGCACAAUUUGUAUUUUAUAUGGGCAAUCUAACAGCUUUUGGGGAGAUAGCUGGGGAACAGGUCUGCAGGAAUGUUUUGGGUAUCUGGCAGGGAAAAUGCCAGGAACUGUUGGUGAUAAAUGAGAGAAUAUUGUGUUCUGCUGUUAAGGCCUGAAAUGUUAAUUUAGGCCAGCUUUCAGCAAUCUGGUGCUCUCCAGACAUUUUGGACUACAGUUCAGGAUGAUACCGAAAUCAGGUGUGGCAGCACCUAUCCUUUACAUGUAGGGAUUGUGGGAUGUACUAUUGCUAGAGCAGUCAAGUACAACAUUUUCCUGUUGCCUAGAAGGAACACACAGGGGAAUGGAGCCAGGCAGGGAGGACUUCCUGUCAUACCUGCUCUAGUCUAGAGCAUCCUCUCUCUGUGCGUGACCCUAGCUGACUAGAUAAAAGCGCUGGCCACACAACCAUCUCUCUCUUGGACUCUCUCUCUCUUACUCUCACUCUUGGACUCUCCUGACUCUUAGUGAGUGCAUGGCUCAACAUUCACGUAGGAUGGAGCCCAAAAUAAACCCUGCCUUCAGAUUACUGCUGUGAACUGAAUGUGAGAAAAACUUUAUACUUCCUUUUAAAGAAGACUGUGUUGUGUUGUUAUUACUUUAAGAGGGAAAUAAAAGGGGAAACUUACCAGAAACAAUCCAGACUGGACAAGGCAGACUGGAUUGCUUAAUUAAAGGAUUCUAACAAAUCACCAACUUGCUUCCAGUAAGUUGCAAAGGGAAUGUGCUCUGCUCUUUACUCACUAGCAUGAGUGAGGAGGGAUAAUGUCAAAACAAAAUAUCCUCUCCUAUCUUCCUUAACAUUCCCACAGGGAUGAGCAAACUGGUCAAUUUCUAUUUCUCUCGGUUUUCCAUUUUGACCUACCUGUAAUCUAUACCUUUGUCCUGAAGGAGCAUAUUAGCCCCUUUUAGCAUAAUAGUGUUUGAGAUCAGGAGUGGGAUCACAUUUGUGGUCCUUGGCUUCAUCCUCCAAGCAUUCUUCCAAAAGAUCUGAACAAAGACCACCAGUAUACUGCUGUAGAUGCUGACAGGCGCACACACACACACACACACACACACACACACACACACAAUCUACUUUGCAUGCAGAAGGUCCCAGGUCCCAGCAGGGCUGGGAGAGACUUCCUGCCUAACCCUGAAGAGCCACUGUUGGUCAAUGUAUACUGAGCAGUCUGAUUUGGUAUAAGGCAGCUUCCUAUGUUCUUAUCAUCUUGGAGAACAGGAUUUAGUGUGCAUCAGUUUAAUUCAGAACUGACAAAGUGCAAUCCUAUGUAGGCUUGCAUUGGAGGAAACCCCAUGUGGUUCAAAGCUGCUGACUCCCUAUUUUCUGUGUAUUUAGGAUUGCAGCUUUGGAUGAAGGUGAAGAGGUCAGGAGCAAGGCCAUCAAGUGCAAUCCUGAUUCCACCCCCCUCUGUUUGUUCACCAGAUGCCUGAAAAGAGCUGCUGUUGUGUUCUUUUGCCAUUUGAAAGUGCCUUGGAAGACAGCCCUGAUAAGUGGCAAUUGCAGUUCCACCCCAAGUAAAUAUAGAACCCAUUAAGAUGCUUAAAACUAAAAUAAAACAAAAAAUAAAAC
Non-coding RNA from Podarcis lilfordi (Lilford's wall lizard), 3273 nucleotides. The record is from the annotation of a GenBank genome assembly. Lineage: Eukaryota; Metazoa; Chordata; Lepidosauria; Squamata; Lacertidae.